UAGUGCUCCAUUAUCAUGUUCAGUUGUAUCGAGCCAACAUCACAGUCCACCUGCUAACACCGUGUUGAUCCUCAACCUACACUGAGGUAAAAAUGUGUAACAUCACCUGUUGACUCUCUUCUGGGGCACUUGUACCUGCUUCAGAUUUGCACCAUCGUGACUGGGACAGAUGUACCGAGGUGGUGCUGAAAGUAAAGUUUCACCAUGGACUCAACCCAGAAGUGCUCACUGAGCUCACCUGACUCUGGACUUGCUGACCAACAUGGACUAGAAGAAAGCAUGGGGAUACCAGACUGUUCCAGAGAGAGACUGAACAUCUGUAUGAACACCAGAACCUACAGUUCCUGCAAAAGGCUCCGUGGCUUUCACGCUAUCAGAAUGGUUCAUCAUUAUAAGUGCAGGAUAUAAAUGCUGUAACACCACGACUGACACGCUUCAUGAGUGUCACAUGAUCAUCAGGAGAUAAGGAGGGUGCUCGAAGGCAGUGACAUCAUGCUUAGAAAUGGGCUAUAAAUCAGUGUGUAAAGCAGGACAUUGACUCCAGACCUUCUGAGGAGCAGGUGAUGGCUUUCACACACUACACACUGGUGUACGGUGUCCUGAUGAUCAGCGUCUUUCUGAGGUCAGGUGGUAACCCGCUAACAUCACUCCAGCUCAUGGAGGUAAUGAAUACGACUACGACUGCAGCAGGAAAUGAUUCUGGACCCCUGAUGAUGAACAGAACAGAGUCAGAUAUAAGUGUGAAGAAAAAGAUUUGGGCCAUGCUGUGGAGGAGAAGAGCAUCGAGUAAGAGAGACACUCACAAAAACUGCUUUGGCUUUAAAAUAGACAGAAUCAGUGAUCUAAGCGGAAUGGGCUGUUAACAUGAUCAUGUGCAUUAAUCAAUAAAAAAAUAUCAAAUAUAAAUUAAAUGUAAACUGCAAUGGACUGGAGAUGACUGACGGACAUAAAGGACAAACAUUCUCUCUGAUAAAUUAAAGAGUUUUUGUUCAGAAAUUGAUACAUGUGAAUCUUACAGAGCUUCUAAAACAGCUCGUUGUUAUGAAAGUGUAAUUUAACUAGAUAUCAAUAAAUAUAAAAUAAACUGUAUGUGGAGGUGAACUGUACUCAUGUGUCCAGUUCCUUUUAAAGCUCCUUUACUUUUAUAAAUGGAAAUAAAUGAAGGAUGUUACAGGAUAUGUUUAAAAUCAACACCACAGUUUAAGACCUGCUGUAAUAAAAAAAGGAAAUAUUUGCUUGUA
Molecule: long non-coding RNA, 1241 nt
Organism: Tachysurus fulvidraco (yellow catfish)
Lineage: Eukaryota; Metazoa; Chordata; Actinopteri; Siluriformes; Bagridae
Exons: 3
Source: RefSeq, a predicted model, not a curated record